UUAAGGCUGGGCUGUGAUGGGGAGCGAAAAUUGUAGUAGCGAAGGUCAUGAUCUCACACUGCCAAGAAAAGCCUCUAGCCAGGAGAAGGUGCCCGUACCGCAAACCGACACAGGUAGGCGAGAAGAGAAUUCUAAGGCGCGCGGAAGAACUCUCGUUAAGGAACUCGGCAAAAUGACCCCGUAACUUCGGGAGAAGGGGUGCCCCGGUAGUGUGAAUAGCACGAGGGGGCCGCAGUGAAAAGGCCCAAGCGACUGUUUAGCAAAAACACAGGUCUGUGCGAAGCCGCAAGGCGAAGUAUACGGGCUGACGCCUGCCCGGUGCUGGAAGGUUAAGGGGAGUGGUUAGGGGUAACCCGAAGCUAUGAACCGAAGCCCCAGUAAACGGCGGCCGUAACUAUAACGGUCCUAAGGUAGCGAAAUUCCUUGUCAGGUAAAUUCUGACCCGCACGAAUGGCGUAACGACUUGGGCGCUGUCUCAACGAGAGAUCCGGUGAAAUUUUAAUACCUGUGAAGAUGCAGGUUACCCGCGACAAGACGGAAAGACCCCAUGGAGCUUUACUGCAGCUUGAUAUUGAAUUUGGGUACGAUCUGUACAGGAUAGGUGGGAGCCGUAGAAAUCGGAGCGCAAGCUUCGGUGGAGGCGCCGUUGGGAUACCACCCUGAUCGUAUCUAGGUUCUAACCUAGUACCCUUACCGGGUACGGGGACCGUGUCAGGCGGGCAGUUUGACUGGGGCGGUCGCCUCCUAAAGAGUAACGGAGGCGUUCCAAGGUUCCCUCAGAAUGGUUGGAAAUCAUUCGCAGAGUGCAAAGGCAUAAGGGAGCUUGACUGCGAGACCUACAAGUCGAGCAGGGACGAAAGUCGGACUUAGUGAUCCGGUGGUACCGCAUGGAAGGGCCAUCGCUCAACGGAUAAAAGCUACCCUGGGGAUAACAGGCUUAUCUCCCCCAAGAGUCCACAUCGACGGGGAGGUUUGGCACCUCGAUGUCGGCUCAUCGCAUCCUGGGGCUGAAGUAGGUCCCAAGGGUUGGGCUGUUCGCCCAUUAAAGCGGUACGCGAGCUGGGUUCAGAACGUCGUGAGACAGUUCGGUCCCUAUCUGUCGUGGGCGCAGGAAAUUUGAGAGGAGCUGUCCUUAGUACGAGAGGACCGGGAUGGACGUACCGCUGGUGCACCAGUUGUUCCGCCAGGAGCAUGGCUGGGUAGCUACGUACGGACGGGAUAAGCGCUGAAAGCAUCUAAGCGUGAAGCCCCCCUCAAGAUGAGAUUUCCCAAUUAGUAAGACCCCUUGAAGACGACGAGGUAGAUAGGUUGGAGGUGGAAGUGCAGCAAUGCAUGGAGCUGACCAAUACUAAUCGGUCGAGGGCUUAUCCUAU
Molecule: ribosomal RNA, 1373 nt
Filed under: Paenibacillus odorifer
Lineage: Bacteria; Bacillati; Bacillota; Bacilli; Caryophanales; Paenibacillaceae
Description: bacterial LSU rRNA
Rfam family: Bacterial large subunit ribosomal RNA
Source: RNAcentral